CCCUUGCUCUGAGCUUUCAGAUUCAGUUCAUGCUUCCCGUGGCUAAUGGAAAUCUCUAACCUCAGCCUCCCUGUUCCACUCUCCUCCCCCGCCCCCCGGAGUCUGGGGAGCCUGAGGCUGCUGGAUGCAGCAUCCUGGGUCUAAAGGUUGAGAGAAUCCCUGGGUCUGUAAGCAACUGAGUGUGGCUGCAGGGACGCAGCUCCGUGGGCUCCCUGGUGACCAAUGUAACUACUCGCAGGCAAGUGGAAACAGCCCUGCCUCUGUGUUUAAAGCUUUCAGGGAGCUUUCACACAGACCUGGGGCUGCUGCCCACAGGACCACGCUGGCAAAGCUCUUCUACCCCACCUCGGAGAGGGAGCCACUUCUACCCAAGCUGGCGCUCCAGCCCCCGUCGCACAGCCUGGCACACAUCCAGCCAAGCCUGGUUCCUCCCUCAACAGUCUUCUGGUUCCAAGAAGCCUCAAGAGCUUCUCAUCAAGUUACCAAGGCAACCACAGCCCUGCAAUCCCUGCAGUGAUGGUGGAGAGAGCAGAGACUGACAGCAGCCCCACACAGGCUGCUGGUCCCGCUUCCCUGUUCAGCCGAUUCCGGGAUCCGUUUUACCGUGUGUUAGAGGUUUGUUGUACGCAGCUCAGUCCCACGUGGCUGAGAAGACAGCAUCAAAGCUUCCCUCACUGUCAGGAAAAUGGGGUGGGUGGAGGGCUCCUCCAUGACUUCCCGGCAGACCAGACUCUGCAGCUCCCCGCCCAGUCCUACGUUUAAAAGGCCCCUGGGUUUCUCUUCCAUAACCACCUACUCCCUCCAGAGUGGCCCCCUUGGGACACAGUACUGCGAAGGGAUCAUGAGCACGGACUGAUUUGGGAUGAGGCAAAAGUGGAUUUGGCUCUUAGCUUGAUCAUUUUCUAAGACUCCAUGGCCUCACGCAAGUCACUUCUCUCUGAACCUCAGUUCCCCUAGCUGUAAAAUGGGGAUAAUAUGAUGGUUUUGCUGGAUUUAAUGACACCAUGCAUCUAUUAAUAAUGUCCUUGCAGGGCCUGGCACUAGGUGACCUAAAAAAUGACAAUAAAGACUGUUAAAAUUUUAUCAUCAUUAACUACUCUUUUAAUUUUUAUUAUUAAGCAUGUGCCUCUGUUUACUUAUCUAAAAUUGGAAUCAUAAUUAGACCUAAUUCAAUGGGUUGUUUGACGAUUACCUGCGACAGAGCAUGUGAAACUCUCAGCCCAAUGCCUACCCCAGGGAAAGUGCUAAGAGCCCUUAGUAUUGAUCCUUUCUCUC
RNAcentral lists this long non-coding RNA (1275 nucleotides) under Dasypus novemcinctus (nine-banded armadillo). RNAcentral describes it as "lncRNA (ENSDNOG00000051282.1)". Lineage: Eukaryota; Metazoa; Chordata; Mammalia; Cingulata; Dasypodidae. The record is from RNAcentral.